UUAGAGUUUGAUCAUGGCUCAGAACGUACGCUGGCGGCACGCCUAACACAUGCAAGUCGAACGAAGUAGCAAUACUUAGUGGCAGACGGGUGAGUAACAUGUAGGUAUCUUCCCUUUGGCCUGGAAUAACACGAGGAAACUUGUGCUAAUACCGGAUAAGUCUUUACGGAGAAAGCUUUAUGCACCAUUGGAUGAGCCUGCACUUGAUUAGUUUGUUGGUGGGGUAAAAGCCUACCAAGACUGUGAUCAAUAGCUGAUUUGAGAGGAUGAUCAGCCACAUUGGGACUGAGACACGGCCCAAACUCCUACGGGAGGCAGCAGUGGGGAAUCUUGCACAAUGGAGGAAACUCUGAUGCAGCGAUGCCGCGUGAGUGAAGAAGGCCCUUGGGUUGUAAAGCUCUUUCGUCGGGGAAGAAAAUGACUGUACCCGAAUAAGAAGGUCCGGCUAACUUCGUGCCAGCAGCCGCGGUAAUACGAAGGGACCUAGCGUAGUUCGGAAUUACUGGGCUUAAAGAGUUCGUAGGUGGUUGAAAAAGUUGGUGGUGAAAUCCCAGAGCUUAACUCUGGAACUGCCAUCAAAACUUUUCAGCUAGAGUUUGAUAGAGGAAAGCAGAAUUUCUAGUGUAGAGGUGAAAUUCGUAGAUAUUAGAAAGAAUACCAAUUGCGAAGGCAGCUUUCUGGAUCAUUACUGACACUGAGGAACGAAAGCAUGGGUAGCGAAGAGGAUUAGAUACCCUCGUAGUCCAUGCCGUAAACGAUGUGUGUUAGACGUUGGAAAUUUAUUUUCUGUGUCGCAGCGAAAGCGAUAAACACACCGCCUGGGGAGUACGACCGCAAGGUUAAAACUCAAAUGAAUUGACGGGGACCCGCACAAGUAGUGGAGCAUGUGGUUUAAUUCGAAGAUACGCGCAGAACCUUACCAACACUUGACAUGUUCGUCGCGACUUUAAGAGAUUAAAGUUUUCGGUUCGGCCGGACGAAACACAGGUGCUGCAUGGCUGUCGUCAGCUCGUGUCGUGAGAUGUUGGGUUAAGUCCCGCAACGAGCGCAACCCUCACUUUUAGUUGCCAUCAUUUAGUUGGGCACUCUGAAAGAACUGCCAGUGAUAAGCUGGAGGAAGGUGGGGAUGACGUCAAGUCCUCAUGGUCCUUACGUGUUGGGCUACACACGUGCUACAAUGAUAUCUACAACAGGAAGCAAAACGGCGACGUUAAGCAAAUCCUCAAAAGAUAUCUCAGUUCGGAUUGCACUCUGCAACUCGAGUGCAUGAAGCUGGAAUUACUAGUAAUCGUGGAUCAGCGUGCCACGGUGAAUGCGUUCCC
This 1322-nucleotide ribosomal RNA is filed under the name unidentified marine bacterioplankton. RNAcentral describes it as "bacterial SSU rRNA". It matches the Rfam family "Bacterial small subunit ribosomal RNA", at positions 1 to 1375 of the family's 1533-position model. The record is from RNAcentral.